CCCAAUGAUGGAAAUUUAAUGGCCGCGGUAUAUUGACCGUGCGAAGGUAGCAUAAUAAUUUGUCUUUUAAUUGAGGACUAGUAUAAAUGGUCGAACAAAAAGUUAGCUGUCUCUGAGUUAUGUCUUGAAUUUAACAUUUAAGUGAAAAGGCUUAAAUAAUUUAAGGGGACGAUAAGACCCUAUAAAUCUUUAUAUUAAUUUGUUGUUAAAUUGGAAAGUAGAAUUAAUUCCGGGUUUAAUAAUUUUGAAUAUUUUGUUGGGGAGACAGAAGUGUAAAUAAAUAACUACUUUAAAAANAAAGUUAAUGAUAUUUAAUGAGGAGAUCCUUUACUAAGGAUUGUAGAANAAGUUACUUUAGGGAUAACAGCGUAAUUUCUUUUGAGAGUCCAUAUCGAAAAGGAAGCUUGCGACCUCGAUGUUGAAUUAAAGAUCCUAUAAUGGCGCAGAAGUUAUAAAA
Molecule: ribosomal RNA, 457 nt
Filed under: Thenus parindicus
Lineage: Eukaryota; Metazoa; Arthropoda; Malacostraca; Decapoda; Scyllaridae
Description: partial 16S ribosomal RNA
Rfam family: Archaeal large subunit ribosomal RNA
Source: RNAcentral